This 805-nucleotide ribosomal RNA is filed under the name Fusarium chuoi. RNAcentral's name for it is "Fusarium sp. MSD-2021a partial large subunit ribosomal RNA". It matches the Rfam family "Eukaryotic large subunit ribosomal RNA", at positions 76 to 911 of the family's 3401-position model. The record is from RNAcentral. Lineage: Eukaryota; Fungi; Ascomycota; Sordariomycetes; Hypocreales; Nectriaceae.
UGCCCUAGUAACGGCGAGUGAAGCGGCAACAGCUCAAAUUUGAAAUCUGGCUCUCGGGCCCGAGUUGUAAUUUGUAGAGGAUACUUUUGAUGCGGUGCCUUCCGAGUUCCCUGGAACGGGACGCCAUAGAGGGUGAGAGCCCCGUCUGGUUGGAUGCCAAAUCUCUGUAAAGUUCCUUCGACGAGUCGAGUAGUUUGGGAAUGCUGCUCUAAAUGGGAGGUAUAUGUCUUCUAAAGCUAAAUACCGGCCAGAGACCGAUAGCGCACAAGUAGAGUGAUCGAAAGAUGAAAAGCACUUUGAAAAGAGAGUUAAAAAGUACGUGAAAUUGUUGAAAGGGAAGCGUUUAUGACCAGACUUGGGCUUGGUUAAUCAUCUGGGGUUCUCCCCAGUGCACUUUUCCAGUCCAGGCCAGCAUCAGUUUUCCCCGGGGGAUAAAGACUUCGGGAAUGUGGCUCUCUUCGGGGAGUGUUAUAGCCCGUUGCGUAAUACCCUGGGGGGGACUGAGGUUCGCGCAUCUGCAAGGAUGCUGGCGUAAUGGUCAUCAACGACCCGUCUUGAAACACGGACCAAGGAGUCGUCUUCGUAUGCGAGUGUUCGGGUGUCAAACCCCUACGCGUAAUGAAAGUGAACGCAGGUGAGAGCUUCGGCGCAUCAUCGACCGAUCCUGAUGUUCUCGGAUGGAUUUGAGUAAGAGCAUACGGGGCCGGACCCGAAAGAAGGUGAACUAUGCCUGUAUAGGGUGAAGCCAGAGGAAACUCUGGUGGAGGCUCGCAGCGGUUCUGACGUGCAAAUCGAUCGUCAAAUA